Nicotiana attenuata is the source of this 2996-nucleotide long non-coding RNA. RefSeq lists it as uncharacterized. The record is from RefSeq and is a predicted model, not a curated record. NCBI's taxonomy places the organism in Eukaryota, Viridiplantae, Streptophyta, Magnoliopsida, Solanales, Solanaceae. The transcript has 2 exons.
AAUAUUUUAGAGUUGAACCCUUUUCCCCAAUUUCACCCGUAUUUUCCGAAUUUCCUCUCUCUAUAUAUAUAUAUAUAUAUAUAUCUCGAUAUUUAAUUUCUUCUACGAUUUCUCUCCAUUCCACCAGUGUUAUCGAUUGAUUCUUUGAUUUCUCUUCAACUCCACCUGUGCGGCUGACGGAGGCAAGCGGCGGGUGGCAAUUUUCGGCUAACGGCAGAAAUUUCAAGCCUAUUAUUCUACUCUUGAAGACCAAUUCUGCUCCAAUUUCUCUUCCAGUCCUCUUUUCGAUUAGUUUCUGCCUCUUUCUCUCUUUUUACUACCUAGAUAUUUUGUGGGUUUAGCAUUAUCGCAAUGUUUAUCCUUGAAGAUUUAUUACCUAGAUAGUUUUUUCGACUCUAGAAGACCAAUUGACUCUUGAAGAUUUAUCUUUUUUACUGCUCAAAUAACAAAAUAGGUUUCAAGAGCUUGAUAGAUCCGGAAGUUAUUCAUUUCUAUAGCUAUAUUUUUUAACACCUAUAAAGAAAAGUAAAUAUUAUACAUACACUCCUUUAUUCCAGAAGUUUUGGCGUGAUAGCAGACCUCGAGAUUCGAACGGAGAAAAUGCACACUUUCUAUUUAAGAACCGAAAAAUAAAUUUUAUAGACACUUUCUCUUGUCAUAUCUGAAAUUUGGAUUGGCUGUUGUUGUUGAUGAGGUUGGAAAAUGGUGUUGGUUGAGUUAUUGGAGCCAUAAAUGAAAAUUAAGAAGCUGAGGUUGAGGAACUAGAAAUGGCUAAUCUUGUAGUAGGUUGAGAAGCUUUUAUUUGUGGUAAUAAUCUAAUAUUUUCUGGAAAAUUUAGUUUGGGUCUGUUGCCUCUGAAUUAAAUUAUAAUUUACACAGUCUAUUUAUGCGAAGGACUUAGAUAGAAUGCUCGUAUGAUGUCUGAAAGUAAUUAGUUCGGUGAAGAAUGUUAAUUUUUCUGUUAUUGUUGUAGAGAUCUAUCAGGCCAAAGGUUGGUUUGGUUUACCUAUUAAAAGUCAUGAUAAGUAUUAAAUGAUAGUUCGGAAACCAUGAAGAUCACUGGUUAGAUUUUGUAUUUAAAUAAAGAUCAUGUUUCUAGGUGUCUUAUCUCUUUAACUUAACUUGAAUAAGGUCUCAAGGAACUUAUCAUGAUUACCAAUAACUAUAACUCAUUAAAUCUGAUUAUUACCACAAAUUUAUGUCAUUCCUUAAUAACAAUAUCCUAAAAGUCUUGGGUGGCUAAACAAACCCUUUAAAGCUUUUAAUUAAGAUGUUAAAACCAUGAUCUUGAGAUGGAGAAAGACUUAUUAAUAAUUUGAUUAGGUACGUAAUGACCUCACAAGUCUCCUCAUAUGUAGGCCAAAUGAUUUUUAUUAAUAAUAAUGGUACAGUCCUUUUACCUGCUCAUCUUACUUCCAGGAAAGUAUUUUGGGUAAUUACAUAUCUGCUUCUGUCAGGAUGCACAUUCUCUUUGAUAUUAUAUACUGAUAUGAAUUAAUGAAUCACAUAUGAUGAGAUUUAAAAGCAAAAAAGUAAGGCAAAACUAUUUUAUGUAAGAUGUUAGAAUAUUCUAGGAUGGCCACAAAAUAUAUUUUUGUUGUUGAAAGAAUCAAUUUUUUUUAUAGUAAACUGUUUGGCAUAGUACUAAGUAAUAUAUAUGGCUCCAUCUUCAUCUCCAUCAUCAUCCACUCCUAGCGUUUCUAGGCCGCAUGUUGAAAUCUCUGCCAUGUUUGUUCUCACUCAGAUCUUACUAAGGAACUGUUUGUAUAUUAUUGGUUUUGUACCUUUCCACUUGAAAUGAUACAUUAUAUGUGACAACCAAUGUAUUGUUGUAUUCUAUGUGAAAAACUUAAGUUAAUAGUGGUCAUGGUUGUAGAAUCUUGAGAGAAAUUCUCAUAAGGGGUAUUUGCUAGUUCAAAUUGAUCUGUUUGUUUGAAAGGGAAGUUUAAGGUUUCUCCAUGUAUACAACCUUUCUGUUUUAUGAGCUUCUUGUAUUUCUGGUAUCCAUGUAGAAUGAAAUGAUAUUGAAUGGCUGAGUGAGAAUACUAGGAAGCUGAGGCAGAGUGAAAAGAACAAAUAAAAGCCAUAUUUGGUGAUUCCCUCAUGCUUUCAAUCUUAAAAGCUCAUUUCAACGUCUUGAAAAUCAUACUGCAUGCCCUUAUUGAACCCUUUAAUACAAUGUUUAUUUCUUACAAUGCAUCCGUGAGAAUUUGUUCUUUAAUCUCUCAUAUUAAAUUACAGCAGGUUCUUUACUUCCUUUAGUUAGUUUUUUUUAGUUUUAAAAAAUUAGUUCUACUCAAGAUGAUGGUCUUUUUGAGUUUUGAUGUUGUUGUACAAUAUUUGGAUCGAAUCUUUCACAGGGCAAACUAAGCUUCUAAGAGGUUUAUAUUUGUUCCCAUGUAGUGGAUGUGGUGAAGGAAACAUAUAAUUGCACAUUUUUAUUCGACUAGGCUGAUUGUCCAGUACACUCAGAAGGCUUAUUGAAGCCUAUCAAAAACGUUUCGAGGAAAGUCAACCCGAUACCGAGGAUGGUAGCUCAAUCCAAGUGACACUCAAUGAUGUAGCUUCAAUAUGGAUGCAGGUGGUUGAUGGCGCAAAGAAAAGUAGAACUUACGAUCAUGGAUCAUAAUAUUCUGUAGAUCGUUCUACGACAUUGUUGUCUGGUGAGGCUAGUUAUUCGUAGAAUCACGAAGAGGUGGAAGCAUUACGAAAAGAAAUUGAAGAUUUGAAGGAGGAACGGAAAGAAGAUCGCGCAAAUUUUAACAAAUUGCAGAGUCUAGUGGAGAAAUUUAUGAGCAAACGUCCAUUUGAUCCUUUGAAUGGAGAGGAUGCCAGAAAUGAUGAGUUGUAGUUUGUUGUGGUUGUGAUGUUUGAGACAUUAUUUUUUGUUGUGGUUGGAUGUUUAGACUUAAUAAUGUUUAAACUUGACAUUGAAUGUAAUGUUUUAGACUAGAUUGAAUGGUGCUUCAAUAUUUAACUUGUGUUUGGAUGUUUAA